ACGUAUUAUAAUAAGGGGCUUACGAUAAUUUAAUAAAUAAUAUGAAUUGUAAUUAAUAUCAAUUGGUUGGUUGAAUCACCCAGGAACAUAGUAUUAUAAGGUUAAUACUUUAUCACAAACAGCGCUUGUUAUUUGCGAUAAAUUAAAAAAUAUCUCAAUGAAGUUAAAAAAUAAUAAUUGUUCUAAUCUAGUUAAAGGUAAAAGAUAAUUAAUAAUUUAACAAUCUAUGG
Non-coding RNA from Cinara cedri, 230 nucleotides. The record is from the annotation of a GenBank genome assembly. Lineage: Eukaryota; Metazoa; Arthropoda; Insecta; Hemiptera; Aphididae.